This 888-nucleotide long non-coding RNA is filed under the name Homo sapiens (human). Its description in RNAcentral is "HSALNT0180729". The record is from RNAcentral. Lineage: Eukaryota; Metazoa; Chordata; Mammalia; Primates; Hominidae.
AUUAUUUAUUUAACCCAAAACCAUUCUUACUAAGGAUUUAAGGAUCCAGUGAUAUACAAGAGGAUAAUUGUCAAAGCCUCAGUAAAUCAACAAUCCGGUUUGAUUUUGAUAGGGAAAUUUUCCAAACUGUGGGCAGGAGAAUGCUAAAAUUAAGUUUUGCUAUGAGUAAUAGAAAGGUAAAGACAAAAUAUCGAACACACCCACCAUUCAAAUGGGUUCAUAUUCAUGUUUAGGGGAUUGUUUACCUUGCAGGGCAAUAAUAGGAGCUGUCAUCUUAUUUAGAUGCUUAGGAAUGAAUCCUAAGCUUAUAUGCUAAAUCAUAAUCUGAUGUUUAGAUACUGUUCAGUAUAAACAUAAAUUUACUAGUUGAUUUUAGCUGUAAUCCUUAUACAUUAUUCUAAAUGAUGAAGUAAAUUUAACUACUAAAGAACUGAUUAUCAUUGACUAUGCCACAUUCUAUUAAAAUUGUAUUUUAAGUAGACUAAAAACAUGAUUUUUUCAUUUCGAAAUCUGAAAGCUUUAGUGUUUUUUCAGUAUUACUGAAUAAUCAUUUUCAGACUUUUAUUUAUUGUGCUACAGGUGACUUUCAGUCAAUCAUAUUCUGAAGUCAAAAUACUAUCAUACUUACCAAAAACUUGUGUAGCUAUCAUUGAAAACAGUAAUAAUGAGCUCUUUUAUCUUUACUCUUUCCUCUUCCAACCUAUGCUCUACUUCCACUCAUUUAUCCAUCCUUAACUUCUUCCUUACUAUUAUAUACUACAAAGAUCCAAAAAUUGGGCAACAUUAUAAAUAAUACACAAAUCUCUUUGACAGGAAUAGAAAUCAUAUUUUUAUAGCCAUGUUUAAAAUUAUGCACCAGAAAUAAUCUGAUGUAUAUUAAUCACUUUA